Long non-coding RNA from Homo sapiens (human), 698 nucleotides. RefSeq lists it as uncharacterized. The transcript has 4 exons. Lineage: Eukaryota; Metazoa; Chordata; Mammalia; Primates; Hominidae. The record is from RefSeq and is a predicted model, not a curated record.
AGACUUAGGACUCAGCUGCCUCUUGGGCAGCUGGGCUCUUUACACUAGAGGCAGAGAUUUGGAAAGGUGUUUUGCUGCUAGGUGUACGACAUGUGAACGAAACAAACUGAAUUACAGGGAAGCAAAAAGAUGACAAGAAAGUAUGCAAGUUCAGGCUGGGUGCAGUGGCUCAUGCCUGUAAUCCCAGCACUUUGGGAGACCAAGAUUAAAAGCCUGAGAAAGGAAGAGGCAGGCCCUGACAUCUGAGAGCUGGUCUGACACAGCUAGACUUCAGGGUUGUUAGAAGCUGGCCUGAUGCUCACAGCUUGGCCCAGUUAUUCUUCUGUGGGACAUAAUCUCACAGAACACCAACAUGAGACAAGGUCAGUCAGACUAUAAAAAAGGGACACAACAACAAGGCCAUUUCAAAAUUGUGUCUAAGCAGAGACAAGAGAGCAAGGUCACUGUGCAAGCCAUGAAAUACCAAACGUCCUUCUCUGCUAUUAUGAGUGACUGCUGCUUCUUUACUAGGUGUGUUCCUGAUGGUCUCUGGCUGGAGGGCAGGGACAGGCCAGAGUCCUUACAAUUGUCUACAAAGUCCCACAGUGGUUCUUGGACUUCAUCACCCAUCAGAAUCAUCUGGAAGAAUUGUUAAAAGAGAAUUGCUGGUCCCCAACCCCAGAGCCUGUGAUUGAAUAAAGCUGGGGUUGAGGUCUUAG